AUGCAUAGCACAACAGGUUGAAAAAUACAUACGCAUAAGCUGCUUUUCAACAGAGCAGAUUAACCGGUGACUACAACUUUCUAAGAAUAGACUAAACGAGGAAGCUGAUCUUUUCUUCUACAUGUCUCUCUUUAUUCAUCACAUAAAUAAAAACACAGAGCUCCACUAAUGCAGUAGCUUGAUCCCUUAAUUUCCUAAUUCCUUGCAAAAGCUCCUGCACCCAUCCUUUUCCUUAUUACAUGCAUGACACUCUUCCCUUUAAUUACCUGUCAAAACACACAUAAAUUGGAUCUCUGUCAAUAUAUAUACUGGUGCAUAUUAUUGGCAAUAUUUACUAAUAUUUAUUUUAUGUGGGAAGAAAGUAAAUAAUUUAAUGCAGUGCUGCACCAACAUAGUUAGGCCUGAUGACAUUAUAUUUUCAGAUUUCUGUUAAUUAAGAUAUAUAUAUACUUAGCAUUGUCAAGAUAAUCGUUCGUGCAUAUAUAAUUGGCCUGGUUUACCUUGAAACCAUAUAUGAUAGCCGUAUUCUAGUAAUGGUGAGGUGGAGGGGGUGAUGCGUAAAUGUAAUGGGGUGGUGGUGGUGACUUGUGUACUGGUGGUGGUGGGGGAGGAGACUUGUAUUUAUAAACUGGGGUAGGAGGUGGGGGAGGAGACUUGUAUUUGUAUGGCUUCUUGGGAGGAGGUGGAGGAGGAGACUUGUAAACGGGAGGAGGUGGUGGGGGAGACUUGUACUUGUAUGGCUUCUCGGGAGGAGGAGGUGGUGACUUGUAAACUGGUGGUGGAGGAGGUGGAGACUUAUAAAUUGGAGGUGGUGGGGGAGACUUAUACUUGUACGGCUUCUUGGGUGGUGGGGGAGGUGACUUGUAAACUGGCGGAGGUGGAGGAGGAGACUUGUAUUUGUAAACUGGUGGAGGAGGUGGUGGAGACUUGUACUUGUAAGGAUGUGGUGGUGGUGGUGGAGAAUGAACCGGAGGAGGCGGUGGUGACUUGUACUUGUAGGGCUUUUUGGGUGGUGGUGGAGACUUAUGCACCGGUGGAGGGGGUGGGGGGGACUUGUACUUGUAAGGGUGUGGUGGUGGUGGUGGAGAAUGCACUGGAGGAGG
RNAcentral lists this long non-coding RNA (1103 nucleotides) under Populus tremula. RNAcentral describes it as "long non-coding RNA (PTRE_LNC002321)". Lineage: Eukaryota; Viridiplantae; Streptophyta; Magnoliopsida; Malpighiales; Salicaceae. The record is from RNAcentral.